CAAACGGUCCUUUUCAGGACCACAAUACAUUACUCAAGAGCUGUGU
Molecule: non-coding RNA, 46 nt
Organism: Anopheles gambiae str. PEST
Lineage: Eukaryota; Metazoa; Arthropoda; Insecta; Diptera; Culicidae
Source: Rfam